GAUGAACGCUGGCGGCGUGCCUAAUACAUGCAAGUCGAGCGAACAGACGAGGAGCUUGCUCCUCUGACGUUAGCGGCGGACGGGUGAGUAACACGUGGAUAACCUACCUAUAAGACUGGGAUAACUUCGGGAAACCGGAGCUAAUACCGGAUAAUAUAUUGAACCGCAUGGUUCAAUAGUGAAAGACGGUUUUGCUGUCACUUAUAGAUGGAUCCGCGCCGCAUUAGCUAGUUGGUAAGGUAACGGCUUACCAAGGCGACGAUGCGUAGCCGACCUGAGAGGGUGAUCGGCCACACUGGAACUGAGACACGGUCCAGACUCCUACGGGAGGCAGCAGUAGGGAAUCUUCCGCAAUGGGCGAAAGCCUGACGGAGCAACGCCGCGUGGGUGAUGAAGGUCUUCGGAUCGUAAAACUCUGUUAUUAGGGAAGAACAAAUGUGUAAGUAACUAUGCACGUCCUGACGGUACCUAAUCAGAAAGCCACGGCUAACUACGUG
Molecule: ribosomal RNA, 497 nt
Filed under: uncultured bacterium
Lineage: Bacteria
Description: partial 16S ribosomal RNA
Rfam family: Bacterial small subunit ribosomal RNA
Source: RNAcentral